RNAcentral lists this ribosomal RNA (360 nucleotides) under Triticum aestivum (bread wheat). RNAcentral's name for it is "partial small subunit ribosomal RNA". The record is from RNAcentral. Lineage: Eukaryota; Viridiplantae; Streptophyta; Magnoliopsida; Poales; Poaceae.
GAACUCCUGGCGAGGCUCACGCUGCAGGAAGAGGAGGAAGACGACUUCAUCUGGGAGGAGGAGUUGCCGGAUAUGCUUGAGCCGGCAAAGUGGCUUGCGAUUGUUCGGGUUCAUACACUAAAAUCCUUUAGCCCUAAUGCUUUGUAUAAUGACAUGAGGGCGGCAUGGAAUCCAGCUAAGUCAGUGACAUGGAGGAAAAUCAAGGCAAAUUUGUUCACGGCACAGUUUGGAUGUCUUGGUGAUUGGAACAAGGCGAUGGCAGAAGGCCCAUGGCUGUUCAGAGAUCAGGCGGUAAUAAUGCAGGAAUAUGAUGGUUUUAAGAACCCAGAUGCCUUCAAGCUGGACAAGCUAUCUGUAUGG